This 450-nucleotide ribosomal RNA is filed under the name Triticum aestivum (bread wheat). Its description in RNAcentral is "partial small subunit ribosomal RNA". Lineage: Eukaryota; Viridiplantae; Streptophyta; Magnoliopsida; Poales; Poaceae. The record is from RNAcentral.
AUGAGCUUCUACAGCCUCCCCGAAACGCUCCACCAUGAGAUUGGCUCGGUCCAAGCUUGGUUCUUCUGGGCUGGCGAGGGCGGUAAGCAGAAAAACCACAUGGUCCGCUGGACGGACAUCUGCAAGCCCCGGGACCAGGGUGGUCUCGGCAUCAUGUCCUCCAAACGCAUGAACCCGACCCUCCUCACUCGCUGGCUGUGGCGCAUUGCAAACGGCGAUGAUGGCUUGUGGCUGCAGAUCAUCCGCCGCAAGUACCUGCGCGACCAGCCCCUCGCUUUCUGCGUUAGGACGGGUGGGUCCCAGUUUUGGCAGUCUGUCAUUCAGCUCCUCCCAGUCCUUCGCAUUGGGACCUCCAUCGCAGUUGGCACUGGUUCGGCCACGCUUUUUUGGUUCGACCGCUGGGCCGGUGAUCUCCCUUUCGUGGCCCGGUUCCUGACCUCUUUUCCAUAG